AACUACGAGUCCCGACGUGCCGCGCGCGGCAUGCAGAAGCUUCACUGAGCGGGCACUGGAGGUCGCGAGCACGUUGCUAGUGGGCGCGGCUGGCGGGGCCGGGGGCGGCAGGGGGCUAGCGUCCGGCUGAGCCCGGCGGGUUCCUGCACGCGGACCCACGCUUUGUCGGGCUGCUCUGCUGAGUGACACCGCCGUGGCAUCCGAGGAGCUGUGGUCCAGCCUGCGCGGCGGGAAGCGGCGGCGGCGGCUCCAGCGUCCUAAGAGAUUGCAACACCUGCUCGGUAUACCGUGACUUUGGGAGGAACAUCUGUCACUGUGAAGUAUCUGCGCAGUCAUGGCUACAUGUCCACGCCGCCACCCGUCAAGGAGUAUCUGCAGGACAGGAUGGAAGAGACAAAGGAGCUUAUCACAGAGAAAAUGGAAGAAACAAAAGAUAGACUCACUGAAAAGUUACAAGAAACCAAAGAAAAAGUUUCCUUUAAGAAAAAAGUGGAAUAAGGUGCCUUAUAUAGCAGUAUAGAAAAUUCCUGCACUUUAACCCUUUGGAAACUAUGGGCAAAGAUACAUGUGUCUGAUUAUUUUUUUGGUUAGUUGCCGAAAUAUACUAGUUCUCUGAGGGUUAAAGAAGUAAAAUACCUUUUUAAAGUUAAAUAUCACUAGAAAAAUCAGUGUUAUUACAAGGGAAGAAAUGAACCCAGUUUAAGAAUUUGCCAUCAGUAGCAGUAUUAAGCAGUGGUUAAUGUCUUAGAAGUCAGACUUCUUUUUCAAGGUCUUCAGAACCACACUUGAUUUCUGUUUUGUUGCAGCUGUAAUUGACACAUACUAGGCAGCUGACUCCUUGAAUAUCCAGUGUGACCCAUAAAAUAGUCUGUUAAUACCGGAUCUUAAUUUUUAUGUUAUUCAUUAAGAUUUUAACUAUAUUCAGUACGUAAUUUGGAGACAAACUAGCAUCAUCAAAACUGCCUGUAAAUAAGGUGUUUAGUCUUUCUAUAAAAACAGAAUAGAGCAGUUACCUACCAGUUAAAAUAUCUUAUAUGAAGAAAAUAGAAUAAAGAUCCAGUCAUAUAUGUAAAUAAGAUGUACUGAUUGUACGUA
This 1095-nucleotide long non-coding RNA is filed under the name Homo sapiens (human). RNAcentral's name for it is "non-protein coding lnc-MC2R-5:1". The record is from RNAcentral. Lineage: Eukaryota; Metazoa; Chordata; Mammalia; Primates; Hominidae.